Long non-coding RNA from Lolium rigidum, 692 nucleotides. RefSeq lists it as uncharacterized. The record is from RefSeq and is a predicted model, not a curated record. The transcript is spliced from 2 exons. Lineage: Eukaryota; Viridiplantae; Streptophyta; Magnoliopsida; Poales; Poaceae.
ACAUGUGCCGCAGCAGAAUGCCGCUCGUGGCAUGGUAUCCCAAUCUCACCUCGUCGCAGAUCCUGUCCUCCUCCAUUUUUCCUGUUCUGGACCCAUCAAAUGUUAACUAUUAUACUAAGCAAUACGAGAUUGAAAUAUGUACAAUUAGAUCUAUCUAGGUUUCAGGUCAUCUCGGGGCAAUGGCGGCUUGGUGGCGGCGUCAAAAGCCUGGUCAGGCCACGUGGCGGGUGGUGGCUGAGGGUGGCCUCGGCAUCGGCGUAAUGGGUGGAGGUUGUGGGCAGAUGCACUGAUUCAGUUCGUGACAGGAAUUGAAGACCACAACUAACAUUAGUAGGCCAAUGGUUUCGAGUCCCUCAAAGAAAUUGUCCAGGUCGAGGAAAUCCCAGAACAAGGUUGUUCCUUGCGCUGCUGUUUUCCAUGGAACCCAGCCUCCGAAGAGCAGCAGAGAAAUAAACAUUGAAGUUCGAAACUACCUUCUGCUUUCAAGUUUCCCCUUGUGCAUUCACUCCCUAAAACAAACUGCACUUCUGUAUAUAGGUGGAUAUUUUUAGUCUCGUGUCCUGUCCAUGUAAUGAAAUUGCUUAUGAAUGCUUCCUACUAUUGGCGUCAUCAAACAGAUCAUGUCCGGAAUUGUUGUACUGAAAGAAUGAUCCAUGUCACCUACGUGACAUUUUGUAAUUCACAUUUUUUUU